UGAGCUUAAAGGUGCAGAUCACGUAGAAGGGUACGAGAGCUGUUCUCGAGCGCGAGUUGCUUUUCGUGGAUUCUGGGUGUCCAGGUCCCGGGACGGAGCGGGAAAAUGUAGGCCAAGAUAGUAGGGGCGGGGGAGAGGUUCGGGAGAACCGUUGCUCCUCGCGUCCGCCACCCAGUCCAGCCCCUCCCCCCAAGAACCGCUGCACUUCCUAGUCAAAAGCAAAUUAUUG
RNAcentral lists this long non-coding RNA (229 nucleotides) under Homo sapiens (human). RNAcentral describes it as "HSALNT0006796". Lineage: Eukaryota; Metazoa; Chordata; Mammalia; Primates; Hominidae. The record is from RNAcentral.